Molecule: transfer RNA, 73 nt
Filed under: Acidimicrobiales bacterium
Lineage: Bacteria; Bacillati; Actinomycetota; Acidimicrobiia; Acidimicrobiales
Also listed under: 1 other name
Description: tRNA-Thr
Rfam family: tRNA
About the family: Transfer RNA (tRNA) molecules are approximately 80 nucleotides in length.
Source: RNAcentral
GCCGGGUUAGCUCAGUUGGCAGAGCGCCUCUCUUGUAAAGAGGAAGUCGUCGGUUCGACCCCGUCACCCGGCU